AAUGUAAAUUCCACUACUACAAAUCGGCAAAAUAAUAAGUUCUUUCAAAAGAAUGGAUAUACGUCAAGUAUAACAAAUUAGAAAAGUGCUAUUUAGUAGAAUGACCCACUUCCUGGGGAAUUGAUUUGAUAAUACAAACCAAACAUGACUCUUUUUUGUACUUCCCAAAAAGUUCUAUUUCUUUAAUCUACUUACCCCCAACCAAAAUAAACCUAGUUACUAAUACAGCAUGAAAGGGGUAUUUUUAAUUAUUUCACAUCAAUUUCUAUUUUUAUUUUGUGGGAUUGGAUGUACAUGGAAUGAUCAUUGUACUAUCUAUAUGGCCAAGUUUAUACAUCAAUAUGAAUGAGAACUGCACAACAGUACAAGGAUCUUGGCAUUUGCAAGGGGGAUUCCACCAAGCAAAGCAGCAUUUCGUUGCAUUAGUUCUAGCUGGCAGCCUGCUGUAAUGGUGGCCAAGCAAUUUCAUCAUCAUCUGUAUAGCCCUGAAUAAGGAAAUCUGCACAAUUCUUUCGGCACCCAUGGUUGUACGGAUUCCGAAACCGUCCAUCUGGACUACGAAGAUAUCCAUAACGAGCAGCAUUUGCAAGUUCAUUAGUGGUGAUAUUCCGAGCUAUCUGUGACGCUUGUGCUAUGGUUAAAGUUGUGGCAGCAAUGAAAAUAAUCAUGUCCAAAACCAAAAAUGUAACAACCCCAGGAUGUUGAACAACCACAUAAUGAAUCCAUCUUCCUUCUGUAUGCAAUGACUCCACAGCUGUCCAAAUUCCUGUAAUGACAGAAAGGGAAAUACUUAACAAAAAUAAAAAACUAACAGGUAGAACAAGGGGGAAGGAAGGGGGAGGUAUUUUUUAGCAGCCACUUACUUUGAACUGUAAUAGCAGCACCGAGGAAUGAUGUCAAAGUUCCCAGGCAUAAAAAAAUGAAGAAGUCCCGUUUGUUCCUCUUCAAACAACAAUGAUGAAAACAUUGAAAAAGAUCGAAAUUUGAUAGGCAAGUCACAUAUCAUUGUGCAUUAAUAAAUAUAGCAAGAAUUACAAGGCCAGGACAAAUUCUACAAGUGUCCAAAACAACUGUGUAGAAGUGUGCACAGCCAACAGAAGUUGCAUAGAUCUCUAUGUCAACUUUGGAUUUUGCAGAAUAGCAAUGCCACAAAAAGCUGCAUGAUAACAUCAUCUCCUAAAUUUCCAGAUUUUGUCACAGGAUAAGAGCAUAUGCAGCAGCUAAUGACAUACUCACAUUCAGGUAUCCAAAAGAAUAGCACCACUAAAGAAGAAAACCAACAUUCCCAAACAAAAGCAUCCUUAUGAACCAAAUUUCUCACCUUCCCCACACAGUUAGAUAUCCAAGGGCAGUGAUGGUCAAAUUGCUCUACACAGCGCUUACAUGAGGGGCAGUGCUUGGAGCGAACGGGUCUAAUUAUCUUGCAGGUAGGGCAAAGCUGAGACCAAUUACCCAUCCAUACAGAGGAGUUGUUCAGAUCGACAUUUAAUAAGGGAUCCUACAUAAGUCCAAUAGAGAUCAGUUAAUGGAGUGGUAAACUAAUAAAAAAGAGGUCCAAAGAAGCAUCGCCAUGAAUUUGAAUAGAUAUUGAUUAUAAAACCAAUAACCAUUGAUAAUAAGAAACUGCUCUGCUGCAAAGAAUGAUACACUUAAGACAUCCAAAGAUAGGACUUGAAAUUUAAAAAUGAACAUAAAAUAGAUUGAAAAAUGAAAUUAUGCCUUCUAUGAUGAGUCAAAUAGUAAUAGUAAAGGACAACCAUAAUGCUAAUUUUGGCUUGAAGGAGAAAGGGUGAAAAAAGAACCUGGCAGGAAAAGGAAGGAAAGACCUCUGAGAACAUCCAGUUUAAGGUAGAAGCAAGGAAAGAAAGAAACGAGACAGAUACCACUUCUUUUAAUGCCUCUGUAUCUGUAUCUCUACCCAAAUCUUCAAGUCUUUUGAUAAAACCUGGAUCUUUACUGCAGAUAAUUGUGAAAGAACAUGAAGAAGUAAAUUCUGACAACAAAUUUUUUAAGAACUUAAAUCAGUAGCAACAAUAUGAAAGAGAUAUACAAUCUGCAAAACUAAAAAUCUAGAAGUGCAGAUGUGAUAACAGGAAGCAGAAACUGCGAAUCUAAGUUCUAACAGGAUAAACCAACAAGCACCUCAAGCAAGUUUUAGGAUAAGCCAAGUGGCAGGUUUCACAAACAUGUUGGUUAGUUGAACCCAAACGUACUUAACAAAUUACUUUAGGUAAAGUUUGAUGGUAUAAUCUAAACAUUGCAGAAGAUAAUAGAUGUUCUGGUGGACAAAAAAGUUAGUUAGGAACAAUGGAUCAAGGAAGUUCAGUUCUUCAAUCUAAAAGGUCUUUUUCACUCUUUUUUGGUUCUUGUUCCCAAAUUAAUAAAUCUCAGAUAUGAACAUGCCAUAAAGGCAUAAUCUGACAACACUCACAAAUUCAAAAAUAUUAGCAUGUAACCUGUAAUAUAUGGCACAAACAGAUGAUAGAUUUGACAGGAAGAAUCAUUGGUCAAAAUGAAAUGCAUAAUCAAUGUCAGCUGAUCAUAUACAGUAAAAUAUAGCAACCGGAUAUGACUGAUGAUGGAUUUUAUGUCCAGCAAUUUCCAGAUUUGGGUAAUUUAGGUUGAAGUUGGCAAUUCUACCCAUUUAGGAAUAGAGAGUAAGAGAUAGAUGAAAAGCAACAGCAACAUACUGACCAAGGACAAGAAGCACAAAGUAAAAAGAAGCAGCUAAACCAACAAAUAAGAUCAUAUAGACACAAGAAACCUGUGCAAUAAACAAAUACACUCAACUAAGUCUUAAAAAAUCUCAAACUAUUUAGGGUAUGUUACAUCAUAUGCCACAUGAAAACUAACCAUAAAUCAAUAGUAGCACCAGAAAUUACCUACUACACUUGUAGAACAUGAUCAGUGAAACAACAGCCAGGGAAAGAGCAGUCCAUCCCCAGAGUCCAACAAUAGCCGUUAUUUUUGGAAGACUUGGAGCUAGAAUGACAUUGAAAGGAUAAUCAUAAUUAACAAGAGGAGAUACUUACAUUCACCAUCAAAGAUAAACAAGAAAUAUAAGAAACAUAAUAUCUUACCUGCAAUAACAGAAUUAACAAAGAGGAACAUAAGAAAGAUUAUAAUAGAAAAUAAGAUGGGAGCAUAACCAAUGCCGCCUAUCUUCCCAUGGCAAAUUUUGUCACCCAAGUGUUUGCUUUGUGCCCGUUGUGCAUUAGACUGAACAAAAUCAAAACAAUGUAAAUACUUGACUAUUAUUUGUGAAGACACAUAGUCUCAACAUCAUUUAAGAUAUUCCCACAACAGAAUUCAAAAUAGAUAAACUAAAAAUUAGACCAUUGUGGUAGAAUGGAGGUUCUCAAAAUCUACAAGUCUAAUAGAUAUAAUAGAUAAACAGUUAAAAACCACCAUCCAGAAUAAUAUUUGCACUAAUAAAUGUCUCAUACACCAUUUUCCAAAUGCAUGCACAUUAAACAUAUGUUUCCAUCAGAAAUUAUGCUUUCUUAGCUGAGAAAUUUUUUUCAUUUCACAAUGCCUUUAUCUAUGGAAAUUCGUGGCUCUCAUGUGAAUGUUAAUGCAUAGUCCAUGAUCUCACAUAAUGGGGAGGAAGCAUUUGUUCUUUGCAAAAUGGCAUAUUACCAAAACAAUAGGGGCUUAUGUAAAAAAUAUAAAAACUUUCCUGUCAAGCAAUAAAAGAUGAAGAGACAGAAUCAAAGGCAGAGGUACAAGAAUUGAAGCUAAUAAAUUAGCUGUCAAGCAUGGUGCAUGAUUAAUUCUCCAGUUGCAGCGAGAAAGCCAAAUGUCUACUACAACUACAAAUAUUCAUUAUUCAGUGGCAUCUGAAAUGUCUACUUUAAAAACUGAAGGCCAAAGACUAUUGACAUCCAAGUGUUAACUAUUCCUAGCAAUGGAUCUCACAAAUUUCAGCAUGAAAUAUUGCCCAGAUAAAAAAACACACGGAAUCUUGUAGGCUCUUGAAGCCUCAGUCCUUACAGGUAUUCACAUUUACAGAUUGGUUUAAAGUUUCUAUUAAGGACAAUAUUAUCCAUACAAGGUUACGUACAAGGAAAAGGGCGACAUGCCGAUGACCUUUAUCAGAUGCAAGCUGAACAGGAGUAAAUCCGGCUUUAUCCUUCACUGUCAGCUCCUGCUUUGUGCCAGCAUGUACAAGAACUGUGCACGCCUCUACAUUUCCUCUUAAUGCAGCCCAGUGCAAAGGGGUACAACCUUCUCUAUCCUGUCUUCCUUGACUUGCAUCUCGAAAUAGAAGUAAUCUAAUAGUGUCAGCAUAUCCCUUGUAUGCAGCCCAAUGAAGAGGGCUCCUCCCUUCAUUGUCUGGUGCAUCAAAAUCAGCAUGAUACUUUGCAACAAUGUGAUUUAAGAAAGCUGUUUGUCCAUACUGGGCAGAAACAUGAACUGCCCGAUAGCCAUUUAUAUCAGUUGCCUCGACUCGAGCUCCAUUCUGCAACAGCACAUCUGCCACAGCAAUUGAACCCCUAACCGCAGCCCAAUGCAAUGCUGUCUGCUGCAUAUUAUCAGCUGCAUUCACAUCGCCCCCGUGCUCGAUUAUGUAUUGUGCGAUAUCAGCGAAGUUGUUGAGAGCAGCCCAUUGGAGAGCAUAGUACCCAUUGCCAUCAGGCUUAGAGAGAGAAGCACCGUCCUGUUCAACAAAUCUGCACAGUUUCUCCAAAUCUCCAUAAGCAGAAGCGGAGAAAACAUCGAUCACAGUAGGUGCGUUGCCAUUAGGACUUUGCUCCGGCUGCGUUUUGGAUUCCGAUGACACUACCUCGAUCUCUGAAGAUGCCAUACGUAGAUUGACCAAUGCAUGCGGGAUAGAAUCCAAUUAGGGUUUCUGAAUUUUGGAGGUUUAGGGUUUACUGCCUGAUUGGAAAUGGCAGCAGCGAGUUUCGUUCUCCGAAUCGACAAGCGGUCUUAUUAUUUUU
Molecule: unclassified non-coding RNA, 4943 nt
Filed under: Hevea brasiliensis (rubber tree)
Lineage: Eukaryota; Viridiplantae; Streptophyta; Magnoliopsida; Malpighiales; Euphorbiaceae
Source: RNAcentral